UUACAAUUAUCGUUAAUGAGAUGUAUUUUUGUUUUUGUUUCCAAUUGUAGUUUGAAUUGUGUUGCAAAAAAAAAGACGCAAAAGUUGACAGCACUGAGCGCACCAAGACGUAGAGAAAGACAAAGAGAGCGGGUGACUUAAGUGAGAGCUUAAGGAAAGCUCAGCAAAUUGUCGUUAAGUCGCAAUUAAAGUCAAGCUCCGGUCAGCGAGGCAAUUAAAACGAAAUGCAGCAACAAAAUACAAAAUUUGCACGUCGGCAAACACGAAUAAUGUGAUUGGCAAAAGAGCGCGCGCAAGAUAAAGCGUCAACAUCAGCAGCAGCCAAAGCAGCAGCUGCAUACGUCACAAGGGCAGAGACAAGAAUCGAAUCUGAUGUGACGCGUCAUCAGCUGAGUGUGUCAAUGCAUGAGAGCGAGCGAGAGCUCUGCAGUGUAACUGUGAUAAGCCUCAUACAUUGAAACAAACUUACAUAUAGAACACAACAUAUCACAGGUUGAAUGAACUGCGAACGUUGAUUGUUUUUAAUAGAGAUGCUGUCAAAAAUUUGCUUAUUAAAAGAACC
Molecule: long non-coding RNA, 562 nt
Organism: Drosophila albomicans
Lineage: Eukaryota; Metazoa; Arthropoda; Insecta; Diptera; Drosophilidae
Exons: 3
Source: RefSeq, a predicted model, not a curated record